RNAcentral lists this ribosomal RNA (482 nucleotides) under uncultured bacterium. RNAcentral describes it as "partial 16S ribosomal RNA". It matches the Rfam family "Bacterial small subunit ribosomal RNA", at positions 28 to 507 of the family's 1533-position model. The record is from RNAcentral.
GACGAACGCUGGCGGCGUGCUUAACACGUGCAAGUCGAACGAUGAAGAAGAGACACGCGCACUUCGGUUCAAAUUUCACUUCGGAUUAGUGGCAGACGGGUGAGUAACGCGUGAGCAACCUACCUCUUACAAAGGGAUAGCCUCGGGAAACCGUGAUUAAUACCAUAUGACACAUUCAUAAGGCAUCUUAAGAAUGUUAAAGCUACGGCGGUAAGAGAUGGGCUCGCGUCCCAUUAGCUAGUUGGUGAGGUAACGGCCCACCAAGGCGACGAUGGGUAACCGGCCUGAGAGGGUGAACGGUCACAUUGGAACUGAGACACGGUCCAAACUCCUACGGGAGGCAGCAGUGGGGAAUAUUGCACAAUGGAGGGAACUCUGAUGCAGCGACGCCGCGUGAGCGAUGAAGGAAUUCGUUUCGUAAAGCUCUGUUCUAUGGGAAGAAAAGGACUGUACCAUAGGAGAAAGCCCCGGCUAAAUACGUG